Girardinichthys multiradiatus is the source of this 2202-nucleotide long non-coding RNA. RefSeq lists it as uncharacterized. NCBI's taxonomy places the organism in Eukaryota, Metazoa, Chordata, Actinopteri, Cyprinodontiformes, Goodeidae. The transcript is spliced from 3 exons. The record is from RefSeq and is a predicted model, not a curated record.
UAAGACAUGCAUUUAGAAAACAAAGUGUGAAAAACUUGAGGAUACCUUUCAGACAGACAUUGAUUCUCUGUUCCCCUCAGAAUUCUCCUUUAAGUAGUUUGAUUUCAUAUUUUGUGUUUAUUUUAAAACAAAUUACAGUUUGUGAGCUUGGAAAAUAAUAUACUUUAUUCGAUAAGAGUGGUAUGAUUUAUGAUACCUAAAUAAUAUUAGUUGAUCAUUUUCUACACUUACUGAUGUACUGCUUUUGAGGCCCUCUCUACAUACCCUCCUUGCAUCAUGGCAUACCCCAUUCACUGCAGUGGAUUCAGACUGGGUAGCAAUUGGACAGAUAAGGGUAUGAAUACAACGUCUAAGAUUCCAUGUUCAGAUUCAUUCGAUAUUUUGAAUUUUUUUAUUUUAUAUUCCUUGUUCCCAUAUUUGUGUCAGAGUCUGAGUGUGUGUGUUGGUGUAUGUGCGUGUGUGUUUGGUGUACUUGUCUUCAUAAUCAUUCAGUGUUUCACAGUUGGUGCUGGAGUUCUCAGGUGCGCUGGAUGACAGGUGUCUCCCAUCUGCUGAUUGCUUGGAGGAGUACUUAAGCGGGAGGCUGCCAGCACUUCGAUGCCGGAGUGUUUGCCUUAGUGGUUUUACCUGAGGCUUUGUUUACCUUGCUGAGUUCCAACUUCGUUCCAGAGUUUCUCUGAGGAUCUGGAUUAUCAACUACUGAGUUAAGGAUCCAUCUUCCUGUCGAUAUCUCUCUCUACCGUCUGUACCUUUCGGACACGGACAAAGCUGGCGGCUUCCCUUUUCCUCCAACUCCAGGACCCAAGUAUCAGCAUACCCUGUCCCUCCCUCCAUCUUAAACAUCGGCACCUGAACUCCAUUUGGCUGGCACCAAGAUCACAACAAAGAAGACAACUGAACGAUCUUCCUUCCAAGUUAAGACUCAGAAUCUCUCUACCCUUGGUGGUUCAAGCUACAAUAAUUUAUUGGUGUUUCCAGUCCUCAUCCCGGACUCUGAAAUACACGUCGAAGGCCUGUAUGAAUCCCUUUCAAAAUCACACUAACCUAUUCCUAAUACAGCCCAGGAAGAGGAGUCACAGCUGGAAUCUCAGACCAAAAGACACCUCUCACCCUUUGCUCAUCCCCAUUCAUGGAGGGACCAGAGCAUGCGUCAACUGGAAGCCUUAAAACUCAUGGGCGAGUAAGUCUUCUAUUUCAAAGAAUCCUUGGAUCCAAAAGUGACUAUAUCAUACUGGUCGUAUGUUGACCGAUGUCCACAAGACAAUAAUUGACACCCUUCACAAGGAGAGAAAGCCACAAAAGGUCAUUGCUAAAGAAGCUGGUUGUCAGCAGUGUGCUGUAUCCAAGCACAUUCAUAGAAAACAGAAUGGAAGGAAAAGUUGUGGUUAAAAAAAAGGAGUGGACUGAGGCUGGAGUCAGUGCAUCAAGAGCCACUACGCAAGAAGAAUCCUAAACAUGAGCAGCAAAUGUCGCAAUCUUCGUGUCAAGCCACUCCUUAACUAGAGACAUCAGAAGAAUCUUUCCUGGGCUAAGAAGAAAAAGAACAGGACUGUUGCUCAGUGGCCCAGAGUCUGCAUUUUGAAUGAAAGUAAAGUUUGUAUUUUAUCUGGAGGUCAAGGUCCCAGAGUCUGAAGGAAGAGGGGAGAAGCACAGAAUCCAUGCUGUCAGAAGUCCAGUGUGAAGUUUCAGUCAGUCAGUCAGUGACAAUUUGACCAUGUCAUCUGCUGGUUCUGAUCCACUGUAUUUUCUGAAGUCCACAGUCAACGUAGCCACCUACCCGGAAAUGUUAGAGAACUUCAUGCUUGCUUCUGCUGACAAGUUUCAUGGAGGUGCCGUUUUCAUUUUCCAGCAGGACUUGGUACUGUUCCACGAGUACCAAAACAUGGUACAGUGACCAUCAUGUUUCUGUUCUUGAUUGGCCAGCAAAUGAGUGCAUAGAAAUCAACAUUCAGAAGCCAGACAUUUCUGUUAAAUAUGAUUUUUUGAUAUGGGAUUUCAUUAUCUGCAAAUAUUUCACUCUAUGUGUGAUAUAUAAGUUUAAGAAAUGUUACUCAUUUGACUUUCUGAAAUGAGUAACAAAAACAUAAGAAGUUUUUCAUUAUAUUCUAAUUUUUACAUGUAUCUAUACAUGUAAAAAUUCUAUGUCAGGAGGCCACAAGGCUUUUGUUACAAAUUGUUGAAUAAAUGAAAGCUGAAACUACA